UAGUCCACGCCGUAAACGAUGAUCACUAAGUGUUCGGCCUUCGGGCUGAGUGCUCAAGCGAAAGUGAUAAGCAUCCCACCUGGGGAGUACGUUCGCAAGAAUGAAACUCAAAGGAAUUGACGGGGGCCCGCACAAGCGGUGGAGCAUGUGGUUUAAUUCGAUGAUACGCGAGGAACCUUACCAGGGCUUAAAUGUAAGCUGCAUUAGUUAGAGAUAGCUAUUUCUUCGGACUACUUACAAGGUGCUGCAUGGUUGUCGUCAGCUCGUGCCGUGAGGUGUCAGGUUAAGUCCUAUAACGAGCGCAACCCCUACCGUUAGUUGCCAGCAUGUUAUGAUGGGGACUCUAACGGGACUGCCGGUGCAAACCGCGAGGAAGGUGGGGAUGACGUCAAAUCAUCACGGCCCUUACGUCCUGGGCUACACACGUGCUACAAUGGUAUAUACAGAGGGCAGCUACCUGGCAACAGGAUGCGAAUCUUAAAAGUAUAUCUCAGUUCGGAUC
RNAcentral lists this ribosomal RNA (502 nucleotides) under uncultured bacterium. Its description in RNAcentral is "bacterial SSU rRNA". It matches the Rfam family "Bacterial small subunit ribosomal RNA", at positions 791 to 1299 of the family's 1533-position model. The record is from RNAcentral.